Molecule: long non-coding RNA, 151 nt
Organism: Bufo bufo (common toad)
Lineage: Eukaryota; Metazoa; Chordata; Amphibia; Anura; Bufonidae
Exons: 3
Source: RefSeq, a predicted model, not a curated record
GCUGAGGUGUGUAUUAUGGGGUUCUGCAGCAGCUGAGGUGUGUAUUAUGAUGUUCUGCAGCAGCUGAGGUGUGUAUUAGGAGGUUCUGCAGCAGCUGAGGUGUGUAUUAGGAGGUUCUGCAGCAGCUGAGGUGUGUAUUAUGAUGUUCUGC